Molecule: ribosomal RNA, 449 nt
Filed under: uncultured bacterium
Lineage: Bacteria
Description: partial 16S ribosomal RNA
Rfam family: Bacterial small subunit ribosomal RNA
Source: RNAcentral
AACGAACGCUGGCGGCAUGCCUAACACAUGCAAGUCGAACGAGAUCUUCGGGUCUAGUGGCGCACGGGUGCGUAACGCGUGGGAAUCUGCCCUUUGGUUCGGAAUAACAGUUGGAGACGACUGCUAAUACCGGAUGAUGACGAAAGUCCAAAGAUUUAUCGCCAGAGGAUGAGCCCGCGUAGGAUUAGCUAGUGGGUGUGGUAAAGGCGCACCAAGGCGACGAUCCUUAGCUGGUCUGAGAGGAUGAUCAGCCACACUGGGACUGAGACACGGCCCAGACUCCUACGGGAGGCAGCAGUGGGGAAUAUUGGACAAUGGGCGAAAGCCUGAUCCAGCAAUGCCGCGUGAGUGAUGAAGGCCUUAGGGUUGUAAAGCUCUUUUACCCGGGAUGAUAAUGACAGUACCGGGAGAAUAAGCUCCGGCUAACUCCGUGCCAGCCGCCGCAGUAA